Molecule: ribosomal RNA, 253 nt
Filed under: uncultured bacterium
Lineage: Bacteria
Description: partial 16S ribosomal RNA
Rfam family: Bacterial small subunit ribosomal RNA
Source: RNAcentral
UACGGGGGGGGCAAGCGUUGUUCGGAAUUACUGGGCGUAAAGGGCUCGUAGGCGGCCAACUAAGUCAGACGUGAAAUCCCUCGGCUUAACCGGGGAACUGCGUCUGAUACUGGAUGGCUAAAGGUUGGGAGAGGGAUGCGGAAUUCCAGGUGUAGCGGUGAAAUGCGUAGAUAUCUGGAGGAACACCGGUGGCGAAGGCGGCAUCCUGGACCAAUUCUGACGCUGAGGAGCGAAAGCGUGGGGAGCAAACAGG